Molecule: long non-coding RNA, 228 nt
Filed under: Lathyrus oleraceus (garden pea)
Lineage: Eukaryota; Viridiplantae; Streptophyta; Magnoliopsida; Fabales; Fabaceae
Description: Pisum sativum (pea) long non-coding RNA (PSAT_LNC035650)
Source: RNAcentral
CUUUUGGAAGGUUUCAAGAUGUGUUUGAAGUUGACUCAUGUUAAUUUUCAGCUUCUGUUUCAAAUUUUUUCUCCCUCUUUGACCCUAGGCUUUGACCUAGUGGUUUGCCUCUCACAUUGGAGCUUUGAUUUCAGGUUGAACAUCCAGGUUUCCAUAGUUGUUGAUGCUCCAUCAUUUGAGAAUUGAUGUUUGCCUUUGAUUACUAAUCUUUGUGUGUUUUGUAGGUUG